This 495-nucleotide ribosomal RNA is filed under the name uncultured bacterium. RNAcentral describes it as "bacterial SSU rRNA". It matches the Rfam family "Bacterial small subunit ribosomal RNA", at positions 30 to 507 of the family's 1533-position model. The record is from RNAcentral.
AUGAACGCUAGCGGCAGGCUUAAUACAUGCAAGGUUGAGGGGCAGCAUGAUAUACGCGAGUAUAUUGAUGGCGACCGGCGGACGGGUGAGUAAUAGGUAGGAGACCUACCUCAUACAGGGGGAUAGCAUAGAGAAAUCUGUGGUAAUACCCCAUGAGGUUAUAUGAAUAGAGGCAUAUAAUCAAAGCAUAAGCGAUUAUGCGGUAUGAGAGGGGCCUACUGACCAUUAGCUAGUUGGUGAGGUAAGGGCUCACCAAGGCGAAGAUGGUUAGGGGUUUUGAGAGAGAGACCCCCCACAUUGGAACUGAGAGACGGUCCAGACUCCUACGGGAGGCAGCAGUAGGGAAUAUUGGGCAAUGGGCGAAAGCCUGACCCAGCCAUGCCGCGUGAAGGAAGACGGCCUUAUGGGUUGUAAACUUCUUUACUACGCGAAUAGAGGUUAGUACGAGAUACUAAUAGGAAGGUAGUGUAGUAAAAAGCACCGGCUAACUCCGUG